This 466-nucleotide ribosomal RNA is filed under the name uncultured bacterium. RNAcentral's name for it is "bacterial SSU rRNA". It matches the Rfam family "Bacterial small subunit ribosomal RNA", at positions 917 to 1382 of the family's 1533-position model. The record is from RNAcentral.
GAGCCCGCACAAGCGGUGGAUUAUGUGGUUUAAUUCGAAGCAACGCGCAGAACCUUACCUAGGUUUGACAUCCUUUGACAACUGCAGAGAUGUAGCUUUCAUAGCAAUAUGACAAAGAGACAGGUGCUGCAUGGCUGUCGUCAGCUCGUGUGGUGGCAUGUCGGGUUAAGUCCCUCAACGAGCGCAACCCCUGUGUUUAGUUGCCAGCAUUAAGUUGGGCACUCUAGACAGACUGCCGUGGUUAACACGGAGGAAGGCGGGGAUGACGUCAAGUCCUCAUGGCCCUUACACCUAGGGCGACACACGUAAUACAAUGGUUGAUACAGAGGGAUGCGAAACGGCGACGUGGAGCAAAUCCCAAAAAGUCAAUCUCAGUUCGGAUUGGAGUCUGCAACUCGACUCCAUGAAGGCGGAAUCGCUAGUAAUCGCGGAUCAGCACGCCGCGGUGAAUACGUUCCCGGGCUUU